AUUGAACGCUGGCGGCAUGCCUUACACAUGCAAGUCGAACGGCAUCACGGGUGCUUGCACCUGGUGUCGAGUGGCGAAAGGGUGAGUAAUACAUCGGAACAUGUCCUGUAGUGGGGGUUAGCCCUGCGGAAGCCGGAUUAAUACCACUUUCUACUAACGCAGCAAACGGGGGGACUUCCGGACGUCGGCCUGUGGGGUUGGCCGCUGUAUGAUAUGCACCCAGGUGGGAUGAGGUCGUUGGAAGGGUAAAGGCCUAACAAGGCGACGAUCAGCAGCCGGUCUGAGAGGAAGAACAGGCACACGGGGACUGAGAAACGGCCGAGACUCCUACGGGAGGCAGCAGUGGGGAAUUUUGGACAAUGGGCGAAAGCCUGAUCCAGCAAUGCCGCGGGUGUGAAGAAGGCCUUCGGGUUGUAAAGCACUGUUGUACGGAAAGAAAUCCUUGGCCCUAAUACGGUCGGGGGAUGACGGUACCGGAAGAAUAAGCACCGGCUAACUACGUG
RNAcentral lists this ribosomal RNA (503 nucleotides) under uncultured bacterium. Its description in RNAcentral is "partial 16S ribosomal RNA". It matches the Rfam family "Bacterial small subunit ribosomal RNA", at positions 29 to 507 of the family's 1533-position model. The record is from RNAcentral.